UGCCAGCCGCCGCGGUAACACGAACUGUGCGAACGUUAUUCGGAAUUAUUGGGCUUAAAGAGUUCGUAGGCGGCUUGUUAAGUCGGGUGUGAAAUCCCUCGUCUCAACCGAGGAAUUGCGUUCGAAACUGGCAGGCUUGAGUGAGAUAGAGGUGAGCGGAACUGAUGGUGGAGCGGUGAAAUGCGUUGAUAUCAUCAGGAACACCGGUUGCGAAGGCGGCUCACUGGGUCUUUACUGACGCUGAGGAACGAAAGCUAGGGGAGCGAACGGGAUUAGAUACCCCGGUAGUCCUAGCCGUAAACGAUGAGCACUGGGCUGAGCGGACCUCCACAUCCGCCCUGCCGUAGCGAAAGCGUUAAGUGCUCCGCCUGGGGAGUAUGGUCGCAAGGCUGAAACUCAAAUAAAUUGGCGG
RNAcentral lists this ribosomal RNA (412 nucleotides) under uncultured Planctomycetaceae bacterium. RNAcentral describes it as "bacterial SSU rRNA". It matches the Rfam family "Bacterial small subunit ribosomal RNA", at positions 506 to 916 of the family's 1533-position model. The record is from RNAcentral. Lineage: Bacteria; Pseudomonadati; Planctomycetota; Planctomycetia; Planctomycetales; Planctomycetaceae.